Small nucleolar RNA from Suncus etruscus (white-toothed pygmy shrew), 131 nucleotides. RefSeq annotates it as small nucleolar RNA SNORA51. NCBI's taxonomy places the organism in Eukaryota, Metazoa, Chordata, Mammalia, Eulipotyphla, Soricidae. The record is from RefSeq and is a predicted model, not a curated record. The transcript has a single exon.
GAUGUCCAGAUCAAGAUAGUCACUCUAAUAUCACUGGGACUGUAUACAAAAAGGAGGUACAGUAAAUGCACCCCAUAUACACCUCAACCCAGGCCCUUUGACUGGUCUGUAUUGUAAAUUGGGGGACAAAA